UGUUGUUUGGACAUGGCUGUGUUUUUCCCUUUGUACUCACUAAUGUGACAUUGUGUCAGUCCCUGUUAGGACAUGCUCGAAUACAAUGAUGAUUUAGAGUAACGCAUGAGGAGGACUGACGGUUAAAAACCUUGAGGCUGAAUACAAAUAGCUAGUAUGAUACACGAUUUAAACAAGGCUUCACCUUCGACCGAACCUAUGAUACGUAAGUCAUGCGUGUCUGCAUGACUCCACUCGUUUCUUCCCCAUUACACACAGACAAAUCCACCGACUGCAAGUCUCCUUCCCUUGUGCCCGGGGAAGUGCCCUCCCCACAUCCUCGAACCUCUCCAAGAAUAUCCUUUCCCUGCGAGAAUCGUUCCUGGACAUCAAGGUCUUUGACUUGGUAAUAAGUUUGCCGCAUAAACAAUGUGGUGAAUCCUGGGCGUGUCGCCACUUUCUUGGAAAUAAUCACACAGUGAGUCGAGGGGCUGAGUCACUUCAGGGAUUGAGGUUCCUCUUAGUGUCCUUGUGGUGUGAGGAGCUGCCCUGUGUGUGAGCAGACAUAUUUAUGGACAUCGCUCGGCUGUCUUCAAUAUUCUGGGGUGUCUUUCAGAAAGUUGUCACAAACAACUUUUCCCAGACGUCUCCCGGCGCCGAAGCGUCCCCUGAUUGCCUGAAAGAGAAGAAGCAAUCACCGCGCGGACUCCCAGAAGCGCACGGAGACAAGGAUGUCACAGCGGGCGCUAAAUCUUAAUUGCGCAGCGGCGGAAAUCGGUGAUGGCCGACAAUCAGUGGGAUGCCGGACGGGGGGGAAGGCGGGAAAUCGUGGGGGGGGCUCCAGGGCGGCCGUUGACGUCAAACGCACAGGAUCUUCUCAGACAGUGAUGGCCUUUAGGGUGCAAAAUGGACUCUGCUAUAGUAGCCGCUGCCCUAUCAAGGGAAGGAAAUAAUCUGGGAGCUGCUUCCCUGCAUUGUGUUUAUUGAAUCGUAUUGUGCCCCUACUGAGAAGAGGAUGCAUCAGCCCGCACGCGGCCCACGAUGCCUCCGGGGGAAUCAGGCUACUGUUGUUUGUGCUUUCGAGGAUUUCCAAUUGUUUUGACUAAUAGGAAACAGAUGAUGUUAAACUACACACUGGAGGGGUGGGGGGGGGGAGCUUCCUGAAAACUCAUCACAACCCAGUUGCCCCGUUUUUGCUCUGUGAAAUUUCUAUCCCACAACCGUGAUUCAUUUGACGGGCGAGUCGUGCGGCUGCAUAGCGAGAGGUCUGCCCAUUCACUGCCUCUGGCACAAGACCGAGCCAAUAAACACACAAGGCCAAAACACUGCAUGUCCUUUUUCCAUUUCUGUGACGCUGAGCAGAACCGUGGGCAUCGUGGACAUUUGAAGGAGCUCAACGCCACUCAAUCCAAUUUUUUGGACUCAAUGGCUGAAUAUGCGAUUGUGCGCCGCCGUACUGGAGCCGAGCUCUUUGCUGACACGUCAGGACGGCCGUUGACAGGUCGAACAGUGAAAGCCGUAUUCAUCUUCUCUGCUUAAGGGUAAUCUGGGCUGCUAUUCAACUGCCCGGACCAAGGCCAGGGUUACAAAACACACCCGAACAACCCUUUUUAACCCUUUCGGGUACUUUACUCCAGGCUGGAUCCAUUUGACGCGGGAGGUUAGGGGGCUCCUCUCUAUGGAAUGUGCUAUAUUGAAGCAGGAGUUCGGACUAGCAUCACUAAGGAGGAUGGAUAUGAUGGGAUGAACGACUCGUGCCAUACCUUUCCCUCCCGAUAAACACAUGUAGUCAGCUGGCUUAAUGGGGUCAGAGGAGUGCAGCUAUCAAGCCAUUAGUUUGAAUGUCGCUCCAUCCGAUGCAGAUCAAGCCGCUCGGUUUUAUUGCCUUUCAUGCGAUCACGUCGCAAAUUUUGCAAAUGUCAUCUGCUAAUUAUAAGUUGCGGGGAACAAGGUUACACAACAGCGAAUUGGCUUGGACCCGGGGACAUAAAAUACUCCCGGACAGCUUCCGCCUCAGAGGGCAGGUCAGAAAAUAACAAACAACAAAGUGUAAUUACAAAAAGUCCGGUAUUUGAAUAGGUCUCUUUUUAUUGGAGCCUCUGAUGGGAUGCUGGCUCUUUAUCUUCAGCUAUUGAAAGGAUCUGCUACCGUUUUUAAUGCAGCUCCCCCCCCCCUACUAACCCCACCCCCAGUGAGGAAUAAAAGCGGUUCAGGCAACUGGCCCCUCAGUUGAAAAGGGAUCAAAUAUGUGAGCACAGGGCUGUUUCAGACCUGUAUGUUAAUGAGGGAGCACUGCCAGCAGGCUCGGCCUCGAGGUGCCAGCGGAGGCCUCAGGCGAGCACAGAAGCGCUCCUGUCUAUUCCUGGAUCGCAGUUUCACACGUCGCAUGUUGACGGCAUGUUCAGCUCGAGUUCCUACUUGUGACAACAAGCAGAAAAGGCUCCUUUCUGUUUAUCAUUUUUUAUUUUUAAAUGUCCGUGUCACAUCAGGGUGCUGAGCUUCUGCUAAAAUUAAGAUUCACAGAGAAAAAGAAGACUCCUCUCACUCAUUUCGGGGGGGGGG
Gasterosteus aculeatus aculeatus (three-spined stickleback) is the source of this 2541-nucleotide long non-coding RNA. The record is from Ensembl. NCBI's taxonomy places the organism in Eukaryota, Metazoa, Chordata, Actinopteri, Perciformes, Gasterosteidae.